Molecule: long non-coding RNA, 1431 nt
Filed under: Homo sapiens (human)
Lineage: Eukaryota; Metazoa; Chordata; Mammalia; Primates; Hominidae
Description: HSALNT0338570
Source: RNAcentral
ACUUCCUGCAUCGCCACCAAUGUGGCCCAGGCCACCAGCCCCCGUGACACUGCAGCCAUCCCCUUUGCUCCCCGUCGUGGCCUCCCGACCGAGCAGCCAGAGUGACCCCGAAAGCCUAAAUCAGCCUGCGGCGCCCUCACCCGUCCUCCAGCUGCCAUCGCCUCCUGGGUGAAGAGGACGCAGCUGGUGACGCGCACUGACGUCCUGCAAGGCCCGCUCCAGGUGCGCCACCUUUGACUGGCAUGCUGAAAGGACAAAGGGACGGAGGCAUUUUACCGGAGAGGACAUCCAUGGGGCCCAGCAGGUCAAAUUCCUUUCUCUAAGUAUGGGAGACAUUUUUAAAAAUAAUGGAGUCCUCCAGGGCCGGCUGCGUGCUGUGGCCUGUGCUCCUCACUGCUUUGGACCCAGGCUGCGCUGUCUCCACCACGACCAAGGACUCACAGAGCUCGCCUGGGGGACCUGGCCCCACAGUCACCCCGUCCGUCAUCAGCCUCAAAUGCCAUCAGCCCGUGAAUGCUGCUCCAUCGUCUGCAUGGCAGCCAAGGAGGAUGGUGCCAGGUGAUGUGGCGAUGAGUGGGCAUCGCGUGGGGGCCUUGGACGAGCGUGGACACCCCAAUCCCCAGACUGGCCAUUGCCGUGGAGGCAGCGUGAGUGUGACAUGGAGCUCGGUGUCGUGCUGCAGAGGACGCCUCGCGGCUGUACGCGUCAUGAUAGCCAGGGACCCCUCCACAUGUCACUUAGCCAAAGGAUGCAGCCCAGCCUGGGGCUUUCUACCCCAGGCCCGAGGACCUGCAGGGACAAGGACCCCUCAGCGCAGAUGCAGCUCUCAUGAGGCCUGAAACCAAGCUGGACUUGCAGAACUGCGCACGCUCCCUUUCUGAAAGAAACACCCGUUACCGGGUCCAGACUGAAUGUGGGCGUAAGAAAGCGGGAAGGGUCCCCCACAGCAAGAGAGAGACCCUCCCAGUCACUUGGUCAUCUGAGCCUUGAGUGUGUCCGGCCCCAGCCACCAGCCUGUCCCCACUAUCCCUCUUGUCAGCACGGCUGAAAGGAGCUGCCUGGGCACCUGAGGUGGCUGAGGCUCAUCUUUGAGGAGCAUGGAACUCGAGGGGAGAAGUCGCGCCCCCAGGGAAGCCAGUACAGACGGGUUUCACCCUGUUGCCCAGGCUGCUCUCAAACUCCUGGCCUCAUGUGAUCUGCCCGCCUCGGCCUCCCAAGGUGCUGGGAUUACAGGCAUGAGCCAUCGGGCCUGGCCGGCUAGUGCAAUUUGGACGAUGAGUUUAAAACUGCAGAACCAAAGUAACCUCUUCCACAGGCUUCAAGCACAGUAGCUGAAGAUAAUAAAUCCAUUAUAACAAAAGAGUAGCCAAAAUGCUGUGGCAUUCUUAGAAAUGAAGAAAGAACUGAACUGAUAAGACAAAAAAAAAAAAA